Molecule: long non-coding RNA, 6337 nt
Filed under: Canis lupus familiaris (dog)
Lineage: Eukaryota; Metazoa; Chordata; Mammalia; Carnivora; Canidae
Description: lncRNA (ENSCAFG00845008192.1)
Source: RNAcentral
UGCCAGGUAUUCUGCUAAGCGUUGAGAACAAUGCAGAGAAGUCUUGGUUCUUGCCUUCACAGCACUUCAAUGAGGGUCACAGACACACACACAAAGUUACAUGUGGUGCUAUGGAAGGCUGGAGAUCUAGUAAUCAAGGAAGAUGGUAUGCAACUCUAAUUAAAACGUUCAGUAAUGUGGAACAGAUUCUGAGAGCAGAAGGAGCAUAGAAAUAGCAGGGUUCAGAGGGUUUCUUUUAACUCGAAGAUGAACUUCACGAAGAAUGGAAAAAAAUCUAUCAAGUGCCAGGCACUAUACUAAGCAUUCCACAUGCAUUAAAGCUGUGUCAUUAUCUCCAGUUUACAAUUAAAGAAACGGAAGCAUAUAUUAGGGUGUAAAGAAGGUGAUCAGAGGAGAGUGCUGGAUUAGAGAGGUUCACCACUUCCUGCCUUGGCGAAAAUGAUGGCAUGAGUUAAUCUAAGGAGUCAGACAAAUCUACAAAAGAACACCAGAAGCUGGGUGAUUUUGCCAUGGGCUCUCCUUGAAAAUACAUUAUACAAAGAGCUGGUGUAUCCUGAUGGUUUCCAGCAGGAUAGUGACCAGCAGGGAUGUGGACCUCCAGCUGUACUGAACAUGAAGUACAUGGAAACAUUUGUGGAGGAAAACUCCAAGGAAAGAUAGGACUUCCUAUUAAAUUACAAUGGCUCAGAGACGUCGUAAUUUACAGGAUUCGUGCAAACAUACCCUCAUACGUGCUUCCGUGUUAGUGAAGUGAAACACCAGUUUAAUACAAAAAUACCUACAACUGUAAAAUGAGAGCAGUUGCAGGCCUUAAGAUUGACAUUACAUCACUGCAAAUAAUAUUUAUGAAGAUCAUUUAAGAGGAAGAAAAACAUAUUUAGGAUAUACCAAGUAAAACUAAAACUACAGGCUGUAUUGUUCUUACAUUAUAUUACACUUUCCACUAUGCAAAAACAAACAUGACGAGAUGGAACAGAGGAAAUACACCCAAAUGUUUUAAUACAACUGGUGACUUCUUCCCCCUUCUACUUUAAUGUCUUCUCUGAAUUUUCCUUUAGGAGGAUAUAUUUUGCUUGGUUUAUGUUUUGGCCAAUUAAAAAUACAAAUAAGUAUAAGAAAGCAAACACUGAUAAACUUACCCUAUAAAUUUAAUAGUAUGCUGUCAUAUUUACUUUUUUUUUUUUCUAAAGAAAACAUAUGGUGAGGCUAAAAUCCCCUUUAAUUCCUCUCUGGUCCCCUUUCCCUCCUUCCCAGGGACAACUAUUACAAGUUGCAUGUGUAUCUAUCCAGGCUAUUUCUUCUCCAAGCUUAUUUUAAAUUUACAUAUAGAACUCACAUUUUAGUGUAUAGAUCUGAGUAUAGACAAGUCAUAUAACCAUCACCACAAUUAAGAUACAGAAUAUCCCCCAAAGAUGCUGUGACCAAACCCUACCUCCAGGCUUAAGCCUUGGCAACCAAUGAUCUAUCCUCUGUCCAUAGUUUUGUGUUUUCCAGAAUGUCAUAUAAUGGAAUCAUACAGUACAUAGUCUGGCUUUUCACUUAGCAUUAUCAGUUUGAGAUUAAUCCAUGGUGUUGUAUGUAUCCAACAGCAUAUUCCUUUUUGUUGCCAAAUGGUAUUCCACUAUCCACUCACCAACUGAAGGACAUUUGAGUUGUUUCCAGUUUUUAGCAAUCAUGAAUAAACUGCUAUAAACAUCUAUAUACAGAUUGUGUUGUGUGUAAACACAUUUUCAUUUUUCCUGAGAAUCACCUAGGGGUGAGUUUGUUGGGUCAUAUGUUAAGUGUAUGUUUAGCUUCAUCAGACAUUGCUAAAUUUGCUAAUCUGUCUUCCUAGGGUGGCUAUUACCAUUUUGCAUUCUCGCCAGCAAUUCAAAAGUGUUUCAGUUGUUCCAUAUCCCUGCCUACACUUAGUACUAUUAGGUUUUUUUGUUUUUUAAAAAAGUUUUAGCUAUUCUAAUAAAUUACAUUGUGGCAACCCACUAAGGGUUUAGUAUUUCCCCAGUGACUAGCAAUUUGAUUAUCUUUUCAUGAGCUUGUUUGCUAUCCUCUUUGAGGUCUUUUAUCCACUUAUUAGUUUUUAUUGUUGAAUUUUGAUAGUUUUUAUCCAAGCCAAUUUUUAGUGCUUCUCAUAUACUUGUAGAUACCCAUAAUCUACAUGUGGUAUAUUACUUUUACAAUGGUAAAAAAAAAAAAAAAAAAAAUUAAAAAUAGCCAAAAAACAGAAAACUUGAUUCCCACAAAUAAUAAAAUUGUAGCCUGUAAUAUUUUCCCCUAUUUAAUAAAGUUGAUGCUGCAUUGUUCCUUUAUCUUUUUUUCCUGCGGUUUUUAUACACAUGUCAUUUUGGUGUCUUUUGGCUUUCAUGGGAAAAUACAGUGAAUACAGUGCAUAAUGACUAUGUUAUAUGCUCCUAGACACCCUGUGUGCUUCUCCCCAUUUUAUCUUCUUCACUGCCUCAUGUAUUGUAGUCAUACAGUGUAUUAAUAAACAACUUCUGAGGCAAAAUGUCUGUCAAAGUCAAAAUAAAUUAUUUAUUGGACAUCCUCUAAAAAUAUGGUGUUAAUGUUUCCCCUUAUAAUGCAUUUAUUGUCCACGUGUAUUUUUUUAAGAUUUUAUUUUUAAGUAAUCUCUAUACCCAAGUGGAGCUCAAACUCAAUCAAAACCCUGAAAUCAAGAGUCACAUGCUCCCCAAUGACUGAGCCAGUCAGGCACCUGUGUACAUGUGUACUCUUCAAGUCACACUGGGAUUAUCACAUUAAAUGAGUUCAAAUUUGCAGAUAAAAUAAUCUCAAUUCAAAAAUGUUAUAUGUAUACAUAUACAUAUAUAUACACACACAUAUAUAUAUAUAUUCUUUGUACUAUUCUUACAACUUUACAACUUUUCUAUGAGCCUGAAACUUGUUUCACAAUAAAAUAAUUUUUUAAAUGCUAUGGGUGGGAGAUGCAGAUUAAGGCACAAUACCCACCUCACCCUUGGUAGUCUCAACAAACCCAAAGGCACCAAAAGAAUCAGAGCAAACAACUGCCCUGGAGUUGUUCAAUGCAAACACCUAUUCCAAUGGGUAACACUUAGCUAAACAUGACAGUUGCCCUUUUGCUCUGUUAGGUUGUCAAUGAGAUCCAAGGAGAGGCUAAUAAAGGACCAGCAUUGCACAAAAAACAGAAAUGUGGGAGUCCUCGAAUAACUCUGUACUAAUUGGGAUUAAGGAGACUUGGUUUUUAGUGUUGGCUUGACCACCAGUUAAGUGGAUGGAUAUAUCACACAACCUGUCUAGGCUUGUUUAUUCAUUUCUAAAACAGCAACAGUAUACUAGAUGGAUCCCUAAAAUUCUUUCUCAUCUUAAAGUUGUAUUAUUUCUAGCCAAUCCUAACCUUUGGAAAAUUUAGUAUACAGGUUAGCUUUUCUUAACAAAAUAAACCUGAGAGCCCUAAAUCAAUCUGAUUUUGUUGUAUAACCUACUUGACAGCCACACCUGUCUUUAGAAAGCUGCUGUAUUUUCUUACAGUUACUAAUGGCACCAACUGUCUGCAAACUGCCAGACUAAGUCCCAACUCACAUUCUCCAGAGCCAAGUUUAGGCAAAUAUUUCCUCGUAACCAACAGUGUGAAACGGAGUGCAAAUGCUGAGAAGGAACCUAGAAAUGAACAAUAGGCUUUCUGUCCCAUUCAGCAUGGCCUACAGUAACAAAUACUAUUCACAAACAUGCUUUACUCAUGAAAUAAAGGUGGUAAACUCAAAGUACUAGGUAAGUAACAAGAGUAACAGAACUUGGUACAUUUCUAAUACCAAAAACAUCAGUUCCCCAUUUCUUCCUGCUUCUGAAAUCUAGGGUCAAGAGACUGGAAACUGCUUUAUUAUCAAGAGAUUUGUAAUCCAUUUAUGCCUAAUAGCUCACUGGCUCAAAUCUAUUUUUAGUUUUUUAAUAAACGUAAGAUUAAACCAAAUUAUAGGGAGAAAACACUUCCAAGUAUAAAAGAAUAAAGAGUUUCUCUUGAAGGUUCCUAUGGAUGGCUGAGAUGUGUCAUAUUUACCUCAUUUCCUACUUACAUUAGAAAAUAUGAAAGUUCUUCAGGAUUAUCCUUCUUCAAAAAUCAUUAAGAUUUGGGAUGCCUGGGUGGCUCAGUAGUUGAGUGUCUCUCUUUGGCUCAGAGUGUGAUCCUGUAGUCUUAGGAUCAAGUCCCACAUCAGGCUCCCUGCAGGAAGCCUGCUUCCUCCCUCUGCCUAUGUCUCUGUCUCUCUUGAAUAAAUAAAAUCUUAUUUAAAAAAAAAAAAAGAGAGAUCAUUAAGAUUUCAUAAGGAAAGGAGGCACCACGUGGAUAACUUUCUGAGGUCUAACCUCAGAAGAAAAUGAACUCAAUCUAAAUUUUCAUUUUGAGGAGGUGACUGAGAACCAUCUGAAUUUAGCAAAUCUGGGCAAUUUUAACACCUCUGAAAUUCAGUCUUCUUACAGUCCAAGUCAAAAUAAUUACCCUGUCAACACCCUAGUUUUGUUAUAAGGAUUAAACAUUACAGUUUUUAAAAAAAGAAACUAGAAUGAUUUAGUAAAUGUAGAUUAAAAUGUAAAAUAAAUUUUAUCAUCCUCAGUAAGGACAAAUGUCCUUAUUAUUCUAUAAACUGAAGACCUCAGGAGGAAAAUAAAUGGUUGGUUAGCCUAACACUAUGGACUGCAAUGACCUGUGAGCAAAGAUGUGUAGGACUUAAGAGUAAAAUUCCAGUUCUGGGGCAUGACCAGAUAAGGCCUUUCAGAAGGGGGAUGUAGUUGCUUCUCUUGGCUAGACCCAAAGAUAGCUAGAGUUGAUUAAAUUCCUUAGGCAAGGCUUCCAGAAAAUACAGCAUACAAUUAAACCUUCAGAGAAAGGAAGCUGUGAGAAGCGAAACUAGACAAUAUAGACAUGAAUGCAAACAGUGUUUGCAAGACACAGCAAGGACAACCUAUGAGGCUUUCUUCACAAAAAGAAGUGUGGGAGCGUGUAAAAUCAACAGAGCAGUGUAUCUGCUUCCAGUGUCUCAGGUGAGGACAGUGAAAGGGCACUGGAUUAGGAAUGAGACAAUACAUUUUAGAUCUCGUUAUAUGCCACACUGAGAAUAGAAGAAUGGUUAGAACUGCUUGACCCAGGUAGAUCUAGGUUCUAAUUCCUUACCUUCCCUUACUUCGUAGGACUUUGGACAAGUUUUAGCCUCUCUAAACUAGUCCCUCACCUCUUACAGGGAAAUAAGAAUGCCUACUCCUUAGGGCCUGAUUACACAAAAUAAAGCACAUGAAGCAAUUAGCACAUCUAGCACAUGAUAACACUCAGUAAGUAUAGAUAACAUCAGUUACAUAUUCUUGUGCAAACCAGAGCCUCAUUCUAUAAUGGGAGUGAUAACACAGUAAAGUACUCUGAUACCUUAAAGUGCCAGGUGUGAUGAAGGGGUUACUACUAACUAGUAGGAGGCUGGGCUCACUCAUUGCCCACAUCAAAUGUUACCAUUUAUUCUCUUUACAACCAGCAGGUUAUCAUUAGCGACAUGCUAUUACUUAGGACAAUUUUUAGAAAUGUUACUUUGAUAUCAAUAAAUAACAGAUUGACAUCUAUGCAACCACACGGAAUUUAUUGAACAUUUUCACAAGUGAUUUCAUUAAAGGAAGGCUUUUUCGUGCCUAUAUUGGUUACCAUCACUUUUGCCCCUAUCACAAUCUCAUGGUGUAGUCCUUGCAUGUAGCAGGAACUCAACAAAUGUCUGCUAAAUUGACAGAUGGAGCCCCAGACGACCUAAAACUUGCACUUUAGAAGCACUUACUUCAUCCUGAGCUAUUAUGAAUAAGGAACUCAAGUGACUGUUAAAAGCAUUCUACUGAUGAGUUUGAUAAUGUUCUAAAGCAACAUAUCUCAAAGGAAAGGAUAUUGAGUUUGUCUCCACCAUAAAAUCCUAUUUUUACACAAAGGUACUACUUAAAAAUGGUCUUCCAAAGGCCUCAGCAGAGGUUCUAAAGAGAUGUGACAAUAUGAAGAAGCUUGGGCUCUCCAAGUCAGUUUACUGACCACCUGCCUUCAGCAAGGCACCCAGCAGGGCAGUACAGGGCAAGGGGCACAUAUGGGCUAUCCCAUGUAGUACCAGGUACUACGUCAGGGAACAUUCAGAGUUCAAGUGCAAUGUCAGCAUGACAGGGUGGGACGGGAGGGACUCAGAAAAGGGAAAGGGCAGUACUGAAUGAAAGAGUUGAGUCCAGGAGAUCUUUCUGGAAGAGGUGUGAUUUGAGUUAGCCUUAGAACAGCAAAUAUGACUUGAACAGGGGAAAUUUGUGUGCAUGGAGUAUGACUACUUCUACGUGACUAAAAUGGAGCUUCUAUAUAAGA